RNAcentral lists this transfer RNA (74 nucleotides) under Bacilli bacterium. RNAcentral describes it as "tRNA-Cys". It matches the Rfam family "tRNA". From Rfam's summary of the family: Transfer RNA (tRNA) molecules are approximately 80 nucleotides in length. Their secondary structure includes four short double-helical elements and three loops (D, anti-codon, and T loops). Further hydrogen bonds mediate the characteristic L-shaped molecular structure. tRNAs have two regions of fundamental functional importance: the anti-codon, which is responsible for specific mRNA codon recognition, and the 3' end, to which the tRNAs corresponding amino acid is attached (by aminoacyl-tRNA synthetases). tRNAs cope with the degeneracy of the genetic code in two manners: having more than one tRNA (with a specific anti-codon) for a particular amino acid; and 'wobble' base-pairing, i.e. permitting non-standard base-pairing at the 3rd anti-codon position. Lineage: Bacteria; Bacillati; Bacillota; Bacilli. The record is from RNAcentral.
GGGGCUUUAGCCAAGUGGUAAGGCAUGGGACUGCAACUCCCCGAGCACCAGUUCAAAUCUGGUAGGCCCCUCCA